Molecule: non-coding RNA, 1553 nt
Organism: Carica papaya (papaya)
Lineage: Eukaryota; Viridiplantae; Streptophyta; Magnoliopsida; Brassicales; Caricaceae
Source: RefSeq, a predicted model, not a curated record
ACUGCAAUAUAUAUAUAAAAAAAAAACGCAUAAGAAGCAGUAUUAGCUUGCACAAACACUAGAGAUAUAUACAUUUUCAGUACCUGACUUAAAAGAUCCAAAACAAAACAAAACAAAAUUACCAGUCACGAGUAAAGACAAACUAAAGCACAAUUAAAAGUUAAAAAAACUAGAAAAAGACAAUAAAAUAUCGAGUUGAAGUUGCAAGGCGAAGAUCCAGUGUUUGUGCAUUUUCAGUACCUUAAAUACAUUUUAAGUAUGCGGCCAAGAGUUCCAGAUAGGCAAGGAGAAGAUCCAGUCAUGACUAAAGACAAACUGAAGCACAAUGAAAAGUCAAGAAACUAUAAAAAAGACAAAAAAAUUCCGAGUUGAAGUUGCAAGAGAAUCCUGAUCGAAAUCUAAAAAGUGAGGCUAUUGCUUCGCAUCUAACAUGUGGGCUGUUUGAGCUAAUUAGCAUAGGACCAUUACUAUACAAUUUAAAACGUGUAGGAUUGGAUCUCAUGUGGGCUUUCUUUGAUUCAGGAACAGGAUAAGAGACUGAAUGGGAGUUCGGUCACGAAAUGCCUUAUUCUAUUGAUUUUGGAUGUAAACAUUAAGUAGUCAGGUGUGCAGGAUAUUAGCCUACUUACAGUAAGAGAAACUGAUGGACCACAAAAAACUACGUUUCUUCUUGUUUGGUUUAUUCUAUGACCCCGCAGGGACAACUGGCUUCAGAGGAUGGGAAGUGACAGCUUGCUAUCUGACUCUGAGUUUUUAUAUGGUUAUAUGGAGAUAAGGAGAUAAAGAUAUCCAUCAUUAAGGCACAAAUAAAUACCCGACUCUGACAUAACAGAUGCUAUUACACUUACAUGGUAGCUGCCCAUGCCGUUCAGGUAAAUAAAUACAGUGAUGUUGUAUAUGUAUGUCUUUUUUUUUUAAAUGUUUUCUUGUUUUCUAGAUUUUCUUCCUUUGGGGCAUGGCUCUCGUUCAACAGCAAAGCUGUAAUUUUGGAUAGACUCGAAUUUUCUUGUGAUAAUUGACCAUUAUAGAUGGUAUUAGGCUUAGAUUUAUCUGGGACAUCAUACGUAAUAGAUUGGUGAUCUAGUCUUUUUACUGGGAUGGAAAUAGUGAUGGUUUGGCAAUGGGCAUUCAAUUCAAUGGUCGGCUUCCAAAUCUUUGAAUAUCUUUGCAUAGUUGAAUCUAGCAUCUGUGGCUCCCUUUUUUAUGGUUUUUUUUUUUUUUUUUCUUUUCUUUUCUCUCUUUGAGCACAUUAUAGCUCUUGAUUCCUCCACUUGAGAUGAUGCUAUCCAAGAUAUGGACUAAAUUUAUCGCCAAAAAGUGUGUAGCUGCUUGUAACGCGAGGUAUAUUCUCAGCUUGAGAGAUAAUAUCUUGGCAGAUAUGCUGACCUUUUGGAAGUGGAAUUGUGUUAUCUUGUCUUUGUUUCCACGCCAGAGUCUAGAAAAUACUUUCUUGGCUAAAGUUUGCUAGUACAGAGUGUACAGAAAAUUGAAAAAUCCUCUUUUCUAUAACCACUUGUUAUAUGCUUUAUAAAGUUGCAUUAAACUUAAGUUGA